RNAcentral lists this ribosomal RNA (801 nucleotides) under uncultured Staphylococcus sp. RNAcentral describes it as "bacterial SSU rRNA". It matches the Rfam family "Bacterial small subunit ribosomal RNA", at positions 79 to 854 of the family's 1533-position model. The record is from RNAcentral. Lineage: Bacteria; Bacillati; Bacillota; Bacilli; Caryophanales; Staphylococcaceae.
UGCUUCUCUGAUGUUAGCGGCGGACGGGUGAGUAACACGUGGAUAACCUACCUAUAAGACUGGGAUAACUUCGGGAAACCGGAGCUAAUACCGGAUAAUAUUUUGAACCGCAUGGUUCAAAAGUAAAAGACGGUCUUGCUGUCACUUAUAGAUGGAUCCGCGCUGCAUUAGCUAGUUGGUAAGGUAACGGCUUACCAAGGCAACGAUGCAUAGCCGACCUGAGAGGGUGAUCGGCCACACUGGAACUGAGACACGGUCCAGACUCCUACGGGAGGCAGCAGUAGGGAAUCUUCCGCAAUGGGCGAAAGCCUGACGGAGCAACGCCGCGUGAGUGAUCGAAGGUCUUCGGAUCGUAAAACUCUGUUAUUAGGGAAGAACAUAUGUGUAAGUAACUGUGCACAUCUUGACGGUACCUAAUCAGAAAGCCACGGCUAACUACGUGCCAGCAGCCGCGGUAAUACGUAGGUGGCAAGCGUUAUCCGGAAUUAUUGGGCGUAUAAGCGCGCGUAGGCGGUUUUUUAAGUCUGAUGUGAAAGCCCACGGCUCAACCGUGGAGGGUCAUUGGAAACUGGAAAACUUGAGUGCAGAAGAGGAAAGUGGAAUUCCAUGUGUNAGUCGGUGUAAAUGUCGCAGAGAUAUGGAGGAACACCAGUGGCGAAGGCGACUUUCUGGUCUGUUAACUGUACGCUGAUGUGCGAUAAGCGUGGGGAUCAAACAGGAUUAGAUAUCCCUGGUAGUCCACUCCGUAAACGAUGAGUGCUAAGUGUUAGGGGGUUUCCUGCCCCUUAGUGUCUGCAGCUA